CUGAGGGAGUGAAGAGCACGCGCUACCGGAGACAAGGAGGAGCUCCCCUGCGGGUGUUCCUCACAGGGCGCAGUUUUACUGGUAUUAAAUAUGUGAAAGUUCUGGCCAUCUAUUUUCAGUCUGGCCUGUGGUCACAGAUUUGGUACUUCUGGAUGUGGGGAUUGGAUAGAUCAUGGCUGAUCGUGAAAGUUAAGAGUUUUUGAUUCCCAAUUCCAAGGACAGACAUCAGCUCUAUAUGAUGCCUCGCUGCAUGAUAUAUUCAGAAGAAUAUGGAUUUUGGAUUCAGAACAGUGCUCAAAUCAGACCUAUUUUCUACAAAAAUAAAAAUGUAUGUGCGAACACGUAGCAUACUUCUUGGCUUCAGAUAUC
Molecule: long non-coding RNA, 369 nt
Organism: Panthera uncia (snow leopard)
Lineage: Eukaryota; Metazoa; Chordata; Mammalia; Carnivora; Felidae
Exons: 3
Source: RefSeq, a predicted model, not a curated record